UACGAAGGGGGCUAGCGUUGUUCGGAAUUACUGGGCGUAAAGCGCGCGCAGGCGGUCUUCCAAGUCAGUGGUGAAAGCCCGGAGCUCAACUCCGGAACUGCCAUUGAAACUGUUAGACUUGAGGACGAGAGAGGUGAGUGGAAUUCCCAGUGUAGAGGUGAAAUUCGUAGAUAUUGGGAAGAACACCAACGGCGAAAGCACUCUGCUGGGCCGACACUGACACUGAGAGACGAAAGCUAGGGGAGCAAAUGGG
This 253-nucleotide ribosomal RNA is filed under the name uncultured bacterium. Its description in RNAcentral is "partial 16S ribosomal RNA". It matches the Rfam family "Bacterial small subunit ribosomal RNA", at positions 524 to 776 of the family's 1533-position model. The record is from RNAcentral.